AGUCAGCUUCCUGCCCUGAGAAGCUCCCUGCGGCAACAAGGGCAGAAGGGGGUCCACAGCCUGCUAUUUGCCCUUCUGAGCUGCGAGGUUGUUUGGUGUGACCCUGCACUGACCCCACCCUGAGUGCUGAAGGACAAAGCCAACCCAGAGGAGCCAAGUAGGAGAUGGGGACAAAACUUCCAGACAGCAACGUCUGAGCCCUAGGCCCAGCGGCACCUGAAGCAAUCGCGUUCUCCCCUUCUGUCAGGCUUCGAUAACCAGCGUGGAGCCCAAUGUGG
Molecule: long non-coding RNA, 278 nt
Organism: Lynx canadensis (Canada lynx)
Lineage: Eukaryota; Metazoa; Chordata; Mammalia; Carnivora; Felidae
Exons: 3
Source: RefSeq, a predicted model, not a curated record